CAGGAUUGUCUCUACAUGACGUGCUAAGAAGUAGAUUUUUAGGUCCAAGAUGGAGAAAGAAAGCUCCAGUUUGGUGAGGCAACAGAGCAGGGCCUCAACAUCAUGAAACCUUUCCUGGAGUGGCAUGACCAGCUGUGCCCGUGCCCUGGCUAGAGAAGUCAGGUGUUCCUCGUCCUCCU
Molecule: long non-coding RNA, 179 nt
Filed under: Mustela putorius furo (domestic ferret)
Lineage: Eukaryota; Metazoa; Chordata; Mammalia; Carnivora; Mustelidae
Description: lncRNA (ENSMPUG00000025315.1)
Source: RNAcentral